This 813-nucleotide long non-coding RNA is filed under the name Physcomitrium patens. Its description in RNAcentral is "long non-coding RNA (PPAT_LNC005394)". The record is from RNAcentral. Lineage: Eukaryota; Viridiplantae; Streptophyta; Bryopsida; Funariales; Funariaceae.
CAGCAUCGAGGAAUGGCUCCGGGAUUGUUCGUCAAGGAGAAAAGAAAGAGAGGGGGCUUGGGUUAGAGUGAUGUCAGAGUGCCUUUGCACACCAUGUCAACAGUGUAUUAUUGGAGGGGGAGAUGUGAUUCUCACUGACUGCGCCAGCUUCAUCAGAACAAUGCCGUGGUCCUAGCUCCGCGUGUUUCACAGAGCCCAGCACAGAUAGAUACGUGCCAUUUUUUUAUAGCCCAGUUUUGGGUUUACUGCAUUAUUGCAUAGGGUUGUGGGAGUUGAAACAAACUGCUAGUGAUUGUGGUACAAUUGGCAACCACUCCCAGGAAAGCUCCAGUUUGUGGGACAAUACAUAAUAUGUAUCUUUUGUGCACUAACUAACUAACUAUAUAUAAGCAAUCAAUGGGUGUUGCACACGUAUGGUUAUCCAAUCAAACACAAUUUAGUCCUAUUCUGCAGAAAAUGUCAUCCCGGUCGGAAAGGAACCAAGCAACAAAGUGUUUGCAAACUAUCCAAACAGUAGGAAUUAAUUUCAGUGGGAUAUGAGGGUUUAAGUUUCGCACGUAAAGCACUGAACAACCUCUGCCCACUACACUGAAAUAAUACAUGACUGCCCUUUCCCUCUAUUAAUUUUUUGCUUUGCCUUGUUCUUUGUUUUGAUUUUUUCGUGUACAGUGGAGUAUGUCCAAGCUUGUACUUCAACACACUGUUGGGAUGGACAGUAUCUACCUGGCAGCAUGUACAAAGGUUGUGCAAGUUUGCCCUACAUAAUUCUAACACUCAGAAGAAAUGAACAAACAUGAACACACACACACACAC